AAACGCAAGUGCGAAGUUCUCGCAGCUCCCUUCAUGAAAUGUGUAGCGGGAAAGUUUGGUUGGUUGAAGGCUGAUGGCUCCAUCGACAACGAGAAGCUCUUAGCCGAGUACAAGAAUUGGGCCGCGGGCCCUGCCUGCGACGUCGCUCAGUACGACUUCGGAGUGAAAAAAUGCGGAAAGAAAAUCAAGAACUACGCGUUCCUAAAGAAGGCCGCAUGCAUCGCCAACGCGACGGAGAAGUACACCGGGUGACGUGCACAAGCUGGUCCUCAUGCCUUCAUCUGACUGGCGGCUUUGAAGUGUUCACAACAGGUGCACAAUAAUAAUUAGGAGACUACUUUCUCCAGUCAAUGCGUCCACUUGCAGUAAAUAUUGUCUAAUUGGAAGUUCACUGUAAUUUAUGAAGCAAUAUAAUUUUAUAUAUAAUAUACAAUGUGUCAAGAAAUUGCUAUUUGAUGCACUUGAAAUUAUUAGAAUUCGACAAGAUCAAUGCAAUGUGGCUAGAAUAUAAGUUCAAAUAAAUGAGCGUA
This is a long non-coding RNA of Hyalella azteca, 530 nucleotides long. RefSeq lists it as uncharacterized. Lineage: Eukaryota; Metazoa; Arthropoda; Malacostraca; Amphipoda; Hyalellidae. The transcript is spliced from 3 exons. The record is from RefSeq and is a predicted model, not a curated record.